This 94-nucleotide ribosomal RNA is filed under the name Pseudomonas aeruginosa. Its description in RNAcentral is "partial 16S ribosomal RNA". It matches the Rfam family "Bacterial small subunit ribosomal RNA", at positions 1440 to 1533 of the family's 1533-position model. The record is from RNAcentral. Lineage: Bacteria; Pseudomonadati; Pseudomonadota; Gammaproteobacteria; Pseudomonadales; Pseudomonadaceae.
CGCAAGGGGGACGGUUACCACGGAGUGAUUCAUGACUGGGGUGAAGUCGUAACAAGGUAGCCGUAGGGGAACCUGCGGCUGGAUCACCUCCUUA